UUUUUAUGGAGAGUUUGAUCCUGGCUCAGAGUGAACGCUGGCGGCGUGCCUAAUACAUGCAAGUCGAACGGACAAGUAAGAGCUUGCUCUUAUGAGUUAGUGGCGCACGGGUGAGUAAUGUAUAGUUAAUCUGCCCUACACUGGAGGACAACAGUUAGAAAUGACUGCUAAUACUCCAUACUCCUUCUUAACACAAGUUAAGUCGGGAAAGUUUUUUCGGUGUAGGAUGAGACUAUAUUGUAUCAGCUAGUUGGUGAGGUAAUGGCUCACCAAGGCUAUGACGCAUAACUGGUCUGAGAGGAUGAUCAGUCACACUGGAACUGAGACACGGUCCAGACUCCUACGGGAGGCAGCAGUAGGGAAUAUUGCUCAAUGGGGGAAACCCUGAAGCAGCAACGCCGCGUGGAGGAUGACACUUUUCGGAGCGUAAACUCCUUUUGUUAGGGAAGAACAAUGACGGUACCUAACGAAUAAGCACCGGCUAACUCCGUGCCAGCAGCCGCGGUAAUACGGAGGGUGCAAGCGUUACUCGGAAUCACUGGGCGUAAAGGACGCGUAGGCGGAUUAUCAAGUCUUUUGUGAAAUCUAAUGGCUCAACCAUUAAACUGCUUGAGAAACUGAUAAUCUAGAGUGAGGGAGAGGCAGAUGGAAUUGGUGGUGUAGGGGUAAAAUCCGUAGAGAUCACCAGGAAUACCCAUUGCGAAGGCGAUCUGCUGGAACUUAACUGACGCUAAUGCGUGAAAGCGUGGGGAGCAAACAGGAUUAGAUACCCUGGUAGUCCACGCCCUAAACGAUGUAUACUAGUUGUUGCUGUGCUAGUCAUGGCAGUAAUGCACCUAACGGAUUAAGUAUACCGCCUGGGGAGUACGGUCGCAAGAUUAAAACUCAAAGGAAUAGACGGGGACCCGCACAAGCGGUGGAGCAUGUGGUUUAAUUCGAAGAUACGCGAAGAACCUUACCUGGGCUUGAUAUCCUAAGAACCUUGUAGAGAUACGAGGGUGCUAGCUUGCUAGAACUUAGUGACAGGUGCUGCACGGCUGUCGUCAGCUCGUGUCGUGAGAUGUUCGGUUAAGUCCGGCAACGAGCGCAACCCACGUAUUUAGUUGCUAACAGUUCGGCUGAGCACUCUAAAUAUACUGCCUUCGUAAGGAGGAGGAAGGUGUGGACGACGUCAAGUCAUCAUGGCCCUUAUGCCCAGGGCGACACACGUGCUACAAUGGCAUAUACAAUGAGACGCAAUAUCGCGAGAUGGAGCAAAUCUAUAAAAUAUGUCCCAGUUCGGAUUGUUCUCUGCAACUCGAGAGCAUGAAGCCGGAAUCGCUAGUAAUCGUAGAUCAGCCAUGCUACGGUGAAUACGUUCCCGGGUCUUGUACUCACCGCCCGUCACACCAUGGGAGUUGAUUUCACUCGAAGCCGGAAUACUAAACUAGUUACCGUCCACAGUGGAAUCAGCGACUGGGGUGAAGUCGUAACAAGGUAACCGUAGGAGAACCUGCGGUUGGAUCACCUCCU
This 1512-nucleotide ribosomal RNA is filed under the name Campylobacter sp. RNAcentral describes it as "bacterial SSU rRNA". It matches the Rfam family "Bacterial small subunit ribosomal RNA". Lineage: Bacteria; Pseudomonadati; Campylobacterota; Epsilonproteobacteria; Campylobacterales; Campylobacteraceae. The record is from RNAcentral.